Molecule: long non-coding RNA, 1048 nt
Filed under: Calidris pugnax (ruff)
Lineage: Eukaryota; Metazoa; Chordata; Aves; Charadriiformes; Scolopacidae
Description: lncRNA (ENSCPUG00000000206.1)
Source: RNAcentral
UGAUACUUGACACGUGCUGUCACAGUUGUGCAGCAGGAAGGAAGCCACAGUUGCUGAAGCAGCUGACCUGGGUUGACAAGUGUUAGUACAGAGAUUCUUGAAGGGGAUGUGUAUAAACCAUAGUCUCUAAGUAUAGGAAGAGAUCUUUUCAGGCUUGAUUUCUAAAAAGUAAAGAACAGCUCAAAAACUUACCUCACGUGUGGGUCAAUAGGAUGGUUAUAUUUUGAAAAGAACAAAGCAAAGACUAGGUUGUCUAUGUGACAGCGUUACAGAUUCAUCAAGGAAACAAUAUUUUAUAUUUCCUAGCUACUAAAUGAUAUCAGGCACAUGAAGUCUCUCUUAAAAUGAAAGGUGAACUUGUGGAAUUUCUUUCUAAUUAUACUUGUAGCAAGGUGUGCCCUCUCUCCUCAGAAAAUAAUACAGAUUUUUUGAAUGUGUUUUUAGAUUGCAUUCACUAUGUUAAAAUUCUGAAGACAUCUAUUUGUUUCUCAACAGGUAUAAAAGCCAAAAAUGAGUGAACCAGACCAUCGAACAUUCUUUACAACUCCCAGGUCUAGUGAUGUAGAAAAUCAGGUGAUUCCUAUGAGAAAUGGUGUUGGCAGCCAGAAGUAUAAACCUGUUGACUACAAACAACUAUAUGAACUUGCUGCAGUAGAAAAAAUGGCAUCUGCAAAAAUUAAGUUAAAGGUAUGAUUUUUAUAUUAUUUGUAAUAUGAAUGAUUUUAAAAUUCAAUGAUCAUAUUUCUUUUCACUGCCCCAAGGAAUCUGAGAAUGAAUAGGGAUAACAAAUUGCUGUAACAGCAUUCGGCAAGAGGGGGCAAAAGACAAGAGUUUAUCACAGUUAUUGUGAUUUGGACACAUUAAUGUCAGUAUGGAAUUUCUUUGAGUCAGAGAUGCAAAGUAUUUGUGGAUUCUGCUUCCCCAAAAGACAGGAAAGGUUCGUACUUGAGUGCUUUGAGGAAAUUCAUCCAGACUCGUGACAAACUACUCAAAAUACUGGGGGUAAUGAAGAAUUUAUGGGAAUAAAUGGGAAGGGGAGGUUGAUUCA